AUUGAACGCUGGCGGCAGGCCUAACACAUGCAAGUCGAACGGUAACAGGAAGCAGCUUGCUGCUUCGCUGACGAGUGGCGGCCGGGUGAGUAAUGUCUGGGAAGCUGCCUGAUGGAGGGGGAUAACUACUGGAAACGGUACCUAAUACCGCAUAAUGUCGCAAGACCAAAGAGGGGGACCUUCGGGCCUCUUGCCAUCGGAUGUGCCCAGAUGGGAUUAGCUUGUUGGUGGGGUAACGGCUCACCAAGGGGACGAUCCCUAGCUGGUCUGAGAGGAUGACCAGGCACGAGGGAGCGAAGAGACGGUCAGGCACCUAGGGAAGGCAGAAGCGGGGAAGAGUGGAAGCAGGGCGGAAGCUUGAAGAAGGCAUGCAGGGUGGAUGAAGAAGGCCUGCGGGUUGUAAAGUACUUUCAGCGGGGAGGAAGGGAGUAAAGUGAAAACAUGUGCUCAUUGACGUUACCCGCAGAAGAAGCACCGGCUAACUCCGUG
RNAcentral lists this ribosomal RNA (489 nucleotides) under uncultured bacterium. RNAcentral describes it as "partial 16S ribosomal RNA". It matches the Rfam family "Bacterial small subunit ribosomal RNA", at positions 29 to 507 of the family's 1533-position model. The record is from RNAcentral.